UAGAGUUUGAUCCUGGCUCAGGAUGAACGCUAGCGAUAGGCCUUACACAUGCAAGUCGAGGGGCAGCACAUGACGUAGCAAUACAGAUGGUGGCGACCGGCGCACGGGUGAGUAACACGUAUCUAACCUUCCCCUUACUUGGGCAUAGCCUCUGGAAACGGAGAUUAAUUUCCGAUGUGGUGUACAUUUCGCAUGUUUUGCGCACCAAAGAUUUAUCGGUAAGGGAUGGGGAUGCGCUCCAUUAGGUUGUAGGUAGGGUAAUGGCCUACCUAGCCUAUGAUGGAUAGGGGUUCUGAGAGGAAGGUCCCCCACAUUGGAACUGCGACACGGUCCAAACUCCUACGGGAGGCAGCAGUGAGGAAUAUUGGUCAAUGGCCGGAAGGCUGAACCAGCCAAGUAGCGUGCAGGAUGACUGCCUUAUGGGUUGUAAACUGCUUUUUUACGGGAAUAAUUAUGAUCACGUGUGAUUAUUUGCAUGUACCGUAAGAAUAAGGAUCGGCUAACUCCGUGCCAGCAGCCGCGGUAAUACGGAGGAUCCUAGUGUUAUCCGGAUUUAUUGGGUUUAAAGGGAGCGUAGGCGGGAGGUCAAGUCAGCUGUGAAAUGUAUCUGCUUAACGGGUACACUGCAGUUGAAACUGGUUUUCUUGAGUGCGUAAGAGGCAGGCGGAAUUCGUUGUGUAGCGGCGAAAUGCAUAGAUAUACCACAGAACGUCGAUUGCGAAGGCAGCAUACUAAGUUUAUACUGACGCUGAUGCACGAAAGCGUGGGGAUCAAACAGGAUUAGAUACCCUGGUAGUCCACGCCGUAAACUAUGAUUACUCGUUGUUUGCGAUAUACUGUAAGCGACUGCGCGAAAGCAUUAAGUAAUCCACCUGGGGAGUACGUUGGCAACAAUGAAACUCAAAGGAAUUGACGGGGGCCCGCACAAGCGGAGGAACAUGUGGUUUAAUUCGAUGAUACGCGAGGAACCUUACCUGGGCUUAAAUGGGAAGUGACAGUUUUGGAAACAAAAUUUUCUUCGGACACUUUUCAAGGUGCUGCAUGGUUGUCGUCAGCUCGUGCCGUGAGGUGUCGGGUUAAGUCCCAUAACGAGCGCAACCCUUGUCGAUAGUUGCCAGCAUGUAAUGAUGGGGACUCUAUCGAGACUGCCGGUGUAAACCGUGAGGAAGGUGGGGAUGACGUCAAAUCAGCACGGCCCUUACGUCCAGGGCUACACACGUGUUACAAUGGUCGGUACAAUGGGCAGCUACUCAGCGAUGAGAUGCUAAUCUUCAAAACCGAUCUCAGUUCGGAUCGGAGUCUGCAACUCGACUCCGUGAAGCUGGAUUCGCUAGUAAUCGCAUAUCAGCCAUGAUGCGGUGAAUACGUUCCCGGGCCUUGUACACACCGCCCGUCA
This 1396-nucleotide ribosomal RNA is filed under the name uncultured bacterium. RNAcentral describes it as "16S ribosomal RNA". It matches the Rfam family "Bacterial small subunit ribosomal RNA". The record is from RNAcentral.